This 73-nucleotide transfer RNA is filed under the name Labilithrix sp. RNAcentral's name for it is "tRNA-His". It matches the Rfam family "tRNA". Rfam says of the family: Transfer RNA (tRNA) molecules are approximately 80 nucleotides in length. Lineage: Bacteria; Pseudomonadati; Myxococcota; Polyangiales; Labilitrichaceae. The record is from RNAcentral.
GUGGGUGUAGCUCAGUCGGUAGAGCGCUGGAUUGUGGUUCCGGUUGUCGCGGGUUCGAUCCCCGUCACUCACC